CACGUAGGAGGCGAGCGUUGUCCGGAAUCAUUGGGCGUAAAGAGCGCGCAGGCGGCUUGGCAAGUCGGGUGUGAAAUCCCGGGGCUCAACCCCGUGACUGCAUCCGAUACUGUCAGGCUAGAGGUAGGUAGGGGAGAUCGGAAUUCCUGGCGUAGCGGUGAAAUGCGCAGAUAUCAGGAGGAACACCGGUGGCGAAGGCGGAUCUCUGGGCCUUACCUGACGCUCAGGCGCGAAAGCUAGGGGAGCGAACAGG
Molecule: ribosomal RNA, 253 nt
Filed under: uncultured bacterium
Lineage: Bacteria
Description: partial 16S ribosomal RNA
Rfam family: Bacterial small subunit ribosomal RNA
Source: RNAcentral